Molecule: small nuclear RNA, 105 nt
Organism: Delphinapterus leucas (beluga whale)
Lineage: Eukaryota; Metazoa; Chordata; Mammalia; Artiodactyla; Monodontidae
Source: Ensembl
GCUCACUUUGACAGUGCAUACAUUAAAACUGGAGAAGUACAGAGAAAAUUGGCUAGGUUCCUGAGCACAGAUGACUUGGAAACUCAUGAGGCACAUAUAUUUUUG